CCUACGGUAGGCAGCAGUCGAGAAUCAUUCACAAUGGGGGAUACCCUGAUGGUGCGACGCCGCGUGAGGGAAUGAAGGUCUUCGGAUUGUAAACCCCUGUCAUGUGGGAGCAAAUUAAAAAGAUAGUACCACAAGAGGAAGAGACGGCUAACUCUGUGCCAGCAGCCGCGGUAAUACAGAGGUCUCAAGCGUUGUUCGGAAUCACUGGGCGUAAAGCGUGCGUAGGCUGUUUCGUAAGUCGGGUGUGAAAGGCGCGGGCUCAACCCGCGGACGGCACAUGAUACUGGGAGACUAGAGUAAUGGAGGGGGAAGCGGAAGUCUCGGUGUAGCAGUGAAAUGCGUAGAUAUCGAGAGGAACACUCGUGGCGAAGGCGGGUUCCUGGACAUUAACUGACGCUGAGGCACGAAGGCCAGGGGAGCGAAAGGGAUUAGAUACCCGUGUAGUC
Molecule: ribosomal RNA, 446 nt
Filed under: uncultured bacterium
Lineage: Bacteria
Description: partial 16S ribosomal RNA
Rfam family: Bacterial small subunit ribosomal RNA
Source: RNAcentral